RNAcentral lists this ribosomal RNA (643 nucleotides) under Limosilactobacillus mucosae. Its description in RNAcentral is "bacterial SSU rRNA". It matches the Rfam family "Bacterial small subunit ribosomal RNA", at positions 47 to 679 of the family's 1533-position model. Lineage: Bacteria; Bacillati; Bacillota; Bacilli; Lactobacillales; Lactobacillaceae. The record is from RNAcentral.
CUGAUUGAACGUGCUUGCACGGACUUGACGUUGGUUUACCAGCGAGUGGCGGACGGGUGAGUAACACGUAGGUAACCUGCCCCAAAGCGGGGGAUAACAUUUGGAAACAGAUGCUAAUACCGCAUAACAAUUUGAAUCGCAUGAUUCAAAUUUAAAAGAUGGCUUCGGCUAUCACUUUGGGAUGGACCUGCGGCGCAUUAGCUUGUUGGUAGGGUAACGGCCUACCAAGGCUGUGAUGCGUAGCCGAGUUGAGAGACUGAUCGGCCACAAUGGAACUGAGACACGGUCCAUACUCCUACGGGAGGCAGCAGUAGGGAAUCUUCCACAAUGGGCGCAAGCCUGAUGGAGCAACACCGCGUGAGUGAAGAAGGGUUUCGGCUCGUAAAGCUCUGUUGUUAGAGAAGAACGUGCGUGAGAGCAACUGUUCACGCAGUGACGGUAUCUAACCAGAAAGUCACGGCUAACUACGUGCCAGCAGCCGCGGUAAUACGUAGGUGGCAAGCGUUAUCCGGAUUUAUUGGGCGUAAAGCGAGCGCAGGCGGUUUGAUAAGUCUGAUGUGAAAGCCUUUGGCUUAACCAAAGAAGUGCAUCGGAAACUGUCAGACUUGAGUGCAGAAGAGGACAGUGGAACUCCAUGGGUUAG